UCCCCGAUAGCUCAAUUGGUAGAGCGAGCGGCUGUUAACCGCUAGGUCGUAGGUUCGAGUCCUACUCGGGGAG
Molecule: transfer RNA, 73 nt
Filed under: Planctomycetes bacterium RBG_19FT_COMBO_48_8
Lineage: Bacteria; Pseudomonadati; Planctomycetota
Also listed under: 13 other names
Description: tRNA-Asn
Rfam family: tRNA
About the family: Transfer RNA (tRNA) molecules are approximately 80 nucleotides in length.
Source: RNAcentral